GACGAACGCUGGCGGCGUGCCUAAUACAUGCAAGUUGAGCGCUGAAGGUUGGUACUUGUACCGACUGGAUGAGCAGCGCACGGGUGAGUAACGCGUGGGGAAUCUGCCUUUGAGCGGGGGACAACAUUUGGAAACGAAUGCUAAUACCGCAUAAAAACUUUAAACACAAGUUUUAAGUUUGAAAGAUGCAAUUGCAUCACUCAAAGAUGAUCCCGCGUUGUAUUAGCUAGUUGGUGAGGUAAAGGCUCACCAAGGCGAUGUUACAUAGCCGACCUGAGAGGGUGGUCAGCCACAUUGGGACUGAGACACGGCCCAAACUCCUACGGGAGGCAGCAGUAGGGAAUCGUCGGCCAUGGACGAAAGUCUGACCGAGCAACGCCGCGUGAGGGCAGAAGGUUUUCGGGUCGUAAAACUCUGUUGGUAGGGAAGAACGUUGGUGAGAGUGGAAAGCUCAUCAAGUGACGGUAACUACCCAGAAAGGGACGGCUAACUACGUG
RNAcentral lists this ribosomal RNA (497 nucleotides) under uncultured bacterium. Its description in RNAcentral is "partial 16S ribosomal RNA". It matches the Rfam family "Bacterial small subunit ribosomal RNA", at positions 28 to 507 of the family's 1533-position model. The record is from RNAcentral.